AUCAAGUCCUUAACAUAUCCUGAAAAGCAAAUCAUUAUUUAUGUUGGCUUUGCAUUGCACUUUGAGAAAAGAAAAAAUGGGUAUGUUUUGGUGCAAAAAGAAUCACCACUCGGUGGAAACCUUCGAUGGAUGAAGUCUGCUUCUGAUAACUGAGUUUUCUAAUAUCUCUCAUGAGAUACUUCGACUCAACAAUCGAAGACAGCUCAACAUAAGCUUUUGAACCUAAGAUCAGAAGUUAGUUAACAAAAA
This is a long non-coding RNA of Xenia sp. Carnegie-2017, 249 nucleotides long. RefSeq lists it as uncharacterized. The record is from RefSeq and is a predicted model, not a curated record. The transcript has 2 exons. NCBI's taxonomy places the organism in Eukaryota, Metazoa, Cnidaria, Anthozoa, Malacalcyonacea, Xeniidae.